Molecule: long non-coding RNA, 408 nt
Filed under: Erythranthe guttata (spotted monkey flower)
Lineage: Eukaryota; Viridiplantae; Streptophyta; Magnoliopsida; Lamiales; Phrymaceae
Description: long non-coding RNA (EGUT_LNC003904)
Source: RNAcentral
CUAUCAAAAAAACUAAACCAAAUAACAGAAUAACGAAAACAACUAUAAAAGUAGCAGAAUAGCAAAAACAAUUAUAUUGUCAAGAAAGAUACUCAACAUCAAAAGCAUUACAAAAAAACAAACGAAGACGUCGGUGGGGCAGAGGUGGAAAGGGAAGGAGACGAUGUUGGCUAGGUCACCACAUCCGGUGGCGGAGACUAGGAGGUGGAUGUAGAGAGGGAUUUAUGAGUUCUUGUUGUUGUCUUCUACAACUAAAUCGAAAAUUAUAGCGAUGGCGGUAACGGCAACGAAGUAUUCAGAUCUGGAGGUGAAGAUGAGAUUUUUUCGAGAAUGUUUUGUCAUCGGGGUGCUGGGUAGCUGGGGAGAACUUUUCACCAUCUUGGGGCUGAGGAGCGACUUUUGGCGGCG